UGACGCUGGCGGCAUGCUUACACAUGCAAGUCGUAACGGCAGCACGUGCUGUAGCAAUACAGUUGGGUGGCGAGUGGCGGACGGGUGAGUAACGCGUAGGAAUCUGCCUUAGAGAGAGGGACAACCCGGGGAAACCCGGGCUAAUACCGCAUAAAGUUGAGAGACCAAAGGCUGGGGCAACCUGGCGCUUUAAGAGGAGCCCGCGUCUGAUUAGCUAGUUGGUGGGGUAAAGGCCUACCAAGGCGAUGAUCGGUAGCUGUUCUGAGAGGAUGAUCAGCCACACUGGGACUGAGACACGGCCCAGACUCCUACGGGAGGCAGCAGUGGGGAAUAUUGGACAAUGGGGGGAACCCUGAUCCAGCAAUGCCGCGUGUGUGAAGAAGGCCUUCGGGUUGUAAAGCACUUUAGGCCGGGAAGAAGGCGUGUUGUUUAAGAGAUGAGACGCUUGACGGUACCGGCAGAAUAAGCACCGGCUAACUCUGUGCCAGCAGCCGCGGUAAU
This 501-nucleotide ribosomal RNA is filed under the name uncultured bacterium. Its description in RNAcentral is "bacterial SSU rRNA". It matches the Rfam family "Bacterial small subunit ribosomal RNA", at positions 33 to 524 of the family's 1533-position model. The record is from RNAcentral.